Molecule: ribosomal RNA, 301 nt
Filed under: uncultured bacterium
Lineage: Bacteria
Description: partial 16S ribosomal RNA
Rfam family: Bacterial small subunit ribosomal RNA
Source: RNAcentral
CAGUCGCCGCGGGAAUACGUAGGGCGCAAGCGUUAUCCGGAAUUAUUGGGCGUAAAGAGCUCGUAGGCGGUUUGUCGCGUCUGCCGUGAAAGUCCGGGGCUCAACCCCGGAUCUGCGGUGGGUACGGGCAGACUAGAGUGAUGUAGGGGAGACUGGAAUUCCUGGUGUAGCGGUGAAAUGCGCAGAUAUCAGGAGGAACACCGAUGGCGAAGGCAGGUCUCUGGGCAUUAACUGACGCUGAGGAGCGAGAGCAUGGGGAGCGAACAGGAUUAGAUACCCCCGUAGUCCCUGUCUCUUAUAC